UUUAAGCGCAGCCAUGAGUUUCCGUGUCUAACUUUAAUUGUCGGUCUUAUUUAAAAAAAAAUCAUGAUUAAUAUUUUAUUGUUAUUAGAUGAUAAAACAUGAAUAAUACUUACUUAUGCUUUUUAAUUUUUUCAGAAAAAAUCAAUCAAAAUUAGACACAGAAACUUAUAGUUGCGCUUUAA
MicroRNA precursor from Oryza sativa Japonica Group (Japanese rice), 182 nucleotides. It matches the Rfam family "MIR812 microRNA precursor family". Lineage: Eukaryota; Viridiplantae; Streptophyta; Magnoliopsida; Poales; Poaceae. The record is from Rfam.